GGACCGGUUAGCUCAGUCAGUUGAGCGUAGUGCUAACAACGCUAAAGUCGCGGGUUCGAUUCCCGUUCGGUCCC
Apaloderma vittatum (bar-tailed trogon) is the source of this 74-nucleotide non-coding RNA. NCBI's taxonomy places the organism in Eukaryota, Metazoa, Chordata, Aves, Trogoniformes, Trogonidae. The record is from Rfam.